CCAGGUAUAAGGUCCAGGAAUGCAAAAACUUUGUCUCUCUGGCUCACCACUUUAAAUCUUGUGGAACAUAGUAGGAACCCUAUAGAUAUUUAUUGUGUGUAUGAGCCUCAUCAUUUUAUUGAAGACAAAACUAGGGCACAGAAUGCUUAAUUAGUUUCCUUGUCAUUCCACACAGUGAUAUAGACACUGAGAACACCUGCAAUUAAAUUUUGACACCUGUUGGUAAUUUUUGAAUGUAGUUAACAAAUUCAUACAUUAUUGAAAACUAUGUUUUUUUUCUGUAUUGAUUGAAUUUUUCAGUAAUUUUUCAUACUCACUCCUAAAAAUAUUAAUUUAUCCAAGAAUCAAAGCCUACAUUAUUUUUAUAGCACUGUUUAACUUACCCUAAAAUUACUUUGAAAUCCUAAUUUUAAAAAUUAUACUUUGUUAGGUCUAUAUUGGUCCUUGGAUGGUUUUUAUGCAACAGGACCCUCUUUGUCCAACCAACAUUGGAUAGUCCAUCAGAUACUCCUCAGGUUAUUUAAAGACAGUUCAUUGUUUUUCAGCCUAUGGUUAAGUAAAAAAUGUAAUCAUAUAAUCAAUAGCUUAAUUUCAAAGCAACUGGUUCAUUUAGCUUCUAGCCUUUUGGAAAUGUUUGAAUGUGGAUUAAAUACCAUAUUUCAUUAGCUUUCAGUUCAUUUUGAUUUACAAAACUUAGUAUUUCCUUUUCAUAGAAAGAAAUCUACUCUAAUAGAUCUAGCUUGCUUAUUUUCAUGAAAUAGCUGAGUAAAUAAUAAACAGUCUAGUUGAAAACAGGACCUUGGCGGGUCUUUAAAACCAGCUGAACUAAUAAACCAACUUGUCAGAGCUGUUCUCCCCAGAGCAUUUCUUUCCUUUGAUGCUACUAGCCUGUACGUACUCUCAUUUACUAUAGGAUUUGUAUUUGUGAUACUAGUCAAAUCAUGUGAAAACCUAGAUGUUUUGGACAAAGCAAUAAACAGAUGACCUAAGUGGGAUUAAACUUUUAUAAAAGCUUUCUCUGCUUUAGUCCCAGAAUCUGUUGGUGUUCAGCCUGGUGGUGUGAUCAAAGCCAGAUAUGUCUGGCACAGAGUAAAGACAAAUUAUGACUGCCUAACAGAGUAGCAGCAAGCAAGUUAGGCAGGUAAUGCAGAAUUCUUAUGGAAGCGAUGAUGCUUAUGUUUCAUGUUAUGAAAAUAGUGAGAGUGAAUCUGGAUGGUGAAAAACCGAGUCAUGCCAGAGCAUUUGAGUCACCUAUGUGUAUGCCUGCUAGGGAGUUUUCCUUUGUUCUUUUUAGAGACACUUGGCUUAUUUUAAUGGCUUUUCCAUGCAUGGCAUAAUCACCAGCUAUGUGAUUAACCAUGUCUAGUUAAGUUAUUUCAUCACAUCAAAAGUAAUGUAAAAUAGCUUUUCUGUUGACUGGAAAGCUGAGUUUGGUGGUUAUGAAUGUACCAGACAUCAAAGAGCUCUAUUAUUUACAGACUGUAUGGAAGCAAGCCAACAGCAUUGUAAGUUUCCCCUCUAUUGCUCCUUCCUUUAAGUGGAGUCAUCACCCACAAGACUGGAGGGAAGGAGGUGAUUUCUAUAAUAGCCCACUCUUGCACUUUUUAUCCAAAUAGGAAGGAUGGUGACCAGCUGUUUUGUGUCUCUACUGAAGGCAGAUAAAGGGAAAAAAUGUUCAUAUUGUAGCGUGAAACACUGUGAAUUGGCUAGAAAAAUCAUGGAAAAAGCUUCUCAUUCCAGCUUUUACCUCUAGCCAGUUGUACAAUUGUGUUAAGCUAUUUAAUUUCUCUUGCAGUGUCUGUGAAAGGCUGGGACUAGUCAGGUAGUAUGAAAAGUUUUUUGGGACACUAAACUGUAUACAAUCUUAUAACCUAAACUUAAAACCUGCAAAUGAGAGAUACCCCAGAGAUAACAGACCCAGAAAAAUUUUAUGGAGGGAACAUUAUUUACUACGUAAUAAUAUAUCUUGACAGUGCCCUGACAGAAUAGUACUUCAUACAGUCUAAUUUGAUUAUCCUGAUCAUCAGAAAUGUUUGCAUUCUUAUUGUGUAUUUAUCUCAGUUUGUGUUCCUCACAGGCAGAUCCUGAGAUAAAGAUUCCUGUGAAAGUGAUGUAUUAGGAAGUGUUUCCUGUAAAAACUGGUGGGAACAUAAAAAAAAAAAAGUAGGAAGAGAAGGAGAGAAGAGGAGCUCAAAAAAGAUGCAAUGUCAAGCCAAGUGCUGCAUAAGGGACUUUAGGUCAAUUCUCCAGAGGAUUCAAGAACAGAGAUUCAGGCCAUGUUUGAGAAUAAGGCGGUAGGGAAGUCAAAUAGAGUUGACACAGAGGAAAAAAAGUUUAUUUCUCUUAAAAGAAUAGUUCCUUCCUAGGACAACUGACAUAAUCUUACCUUGGGGGAUGCCUGGAGAUUGUACUAUCUCACUAAGGUCUACUUUAUCAUCAUUUUUUAGCAAUUCUAUUUUGAUGGCAGCUUCCUACUUGGAUCAUCAUUAAUGGAUUAGAACAAGAUGUCACCAUUGUAGAAUUCCUGAGAACCCACUGUGCUGUUCAGUUUUAUACAGUGUCAAAAAAAAAAAAAAAUAGCAUUAGGCAGCAAAUGAAAGUAGCAUUUUGUAUGUUAAUCUUGUUUCUUGUAGACAUGAAAAUCUGACAUCCAAAAAUCUAAGGAAUUUAAGAUUAAUUCUAUAAAAAGCUAAUACAGUUUCCCACAUUUUUCUCUUUGCUGAUAUAUCAUUUAAGAAUGGCUGAAGUAAACCAUUCUUCACUUUUUAAUAGCUUCUAUGUACCAGAAAUGCACUUAAGAUGAUUCCUUGAUUAGUUACAUUGGACCCUUGGAAGCUUUCCUGACUAUUACCACCAAGGACAAAAGAACUAAAAGAGAAUGAUGUUGUACUUACAUGCCUCAUGAUGGCAACCCAGGCCCCUAUUCAUUGAAUAUGUCCCCCAAUUGGAUUUUAAUUGAUUAUCUUCACACGUAUAUUACAGCUUUGAAAAGUUGAAAAGAAUCUCCCCCAAUUUGACUUCUCCUCAUCUUCAUUUUAAAAUUCAGCUCUUCACCUGGUCAUUGACAUGAAAAUGUCUUUCUAUAAAAUCCUUCAAGAAUAGCACAAGCACUUCACUUGAAAAGCGAAAGUAGCAAGUCAAAUGAGUAAGGCAAGGUGGCAGGUGAAUCCUGAGAGGAAGAAAUAUAAGGAGAAAUUGACAGCAUCUGGAAUUGGCUAAGAUAUAAAAGGAUCCCACUAUGUAGAGGGGGAGAGGAAUAUGAGGAGGCAUUGUUUUCAAAGGGAUGCAGCCAAAGAGGAACCUGGGUGGUUGUUGUUAACAGUUUUGUUGUUUGUUUAAUAGUAUUGCAUCCCAAUAUAUAUUAAAAUGGCUAUUUUUAACUUGAGAAAGCUGCUUAUUCUCUAAGUAUUAGUAGAGAAUUAUCCUAUGUAAGAUGGAGCUAAAAAAUUAUGACCCUGAAGAGUUAUUAGAAUUAAAUAAGAUAACAUGCACAAAUUACUUAGCACACUUGAAGCAUUCAAUAAAUGCUAUUUUUCUCUUUCAGCCAUAGCAUAAUGGUACCUCAUUUGGCAGGACUUUGUUGCUUUUUGAAGUUAUCCUAUUAUAGAAUAGUACAAUAACAAGAAAGUUACCUUAUUAGGUAAAAAUAAAAGUUGCACACUUCAUCAGCUACAAUUUAAUGCCUAUGCAGGUGGAUAUGGAACAAACUGAAAAUUUAAACUGAAAAGAUAUUUUAAUAGAUGGUAAUCCAAUGCAAUCAACAACAGGAAAAAAAAAAAGCUCUUAUCAGACAGCCAAGAUGAGAAUUUUUUUACUUUGUCAAAUACUUGUUGCAGGAGAAUGUCUUUUAGGAAAUGGUCAUCAUUUGAUAGAUCCAAUAAUCAAAUUGAUUGGUUAUAUCCUAUUAAGUAUGGCAUAUAAUUAGAUCUAACAGUGUUUUAAUACUUGCCUUACUAAGUAACCUUCCAGAUAUGUUCUGCAAGUUCUCUAGAAUUUAAAAUAGUAUUUUAUUAAUAAAUAAUGACAGCAUUGUUUAUGUACGAAGGAUAGAAGGUUCCAAUUGAAAUUGCAU
RNAcentral lists this long non-coding RNA (4072 nucleotides) under Sus scrofa (pig). Its description in RNAcentral is "lncRNA (ENSSSCG00000061657.1)". Lineage: Eukaryota; Metazoa; Chordata; Mammalia; Artiodactyla; Suidae. The record is from RNAcentral.